CCUACGGGAGGCAGCAGUGAGGAAUAUUGGUCAAUGGGCGCGAGCCUGAACCAGCCAAGUCGCGUGAGGGAAGACGGUCCUAUGGAUUGUAAACCUCUUUUGUCGGGGAGCAAAAGAGGCCACGCGUGGCUUUCCGAGAGUACCCGAAGAAAAAGCAUAGGCUAACUCCGUGCCAGCAGCCGCGGUAAUACGGGGGAUGCGAGCGUUAUCCGGAUUUAUUGGGGUUAAAGGGUGCGCAGGCGGAAGAUCAAGGCAGCGGUAAAAUUGAGAGGCUCAACCUCUUCGAGCCGUUGAAACUGGUUUACUUGAGUGAGUGAGAAGUAUGCGGAAUGCGUGGUGUAGCGGUGAAAUGCAUAGAUAUCACGCAGAACUCCGAUUGCGAAGGCAGCAUACCGGCGCUCAACUGACGCUCAUGCACGAAAGUGUGGGUAUCGAACAGGAGUAGAUACCCGAGUAGUC
RNAcentral lists this ribosomal RNA (459 nucleotides) under uncultured bacterium. RNAcentral describes it as "partial 16S ribosomal RNA". It matches the Rfam family "Bacterial small subunit ribosomal RNA", at positions 338 to 795 of the family's 1533-position model. The record is from RNAcentral.